GAACGCUGGCGGCAUGCCUUACACAUGCAAGUCGAACGGCAGCGCGGACUUCGGUCUGGCGGCGAGUGGCGAACGGGUGAGUAGUGUAUCGGAACGUACCAUUCAGUGGGGGAUAACGCAGCGAAAGUUGCGCUAAUACCGCAUAUUCUGUGCGCAGGAAAGCAGGGGAUCGCAAGACCUUGCGCUGAUUGAGCGGCCGAUAUCAGAUUAGCUAGUUGGUGAGGUAAAGGCUCACCAAGGCGACGAUCUGUAGCGGGUCUGAGAGGAUGAUCCGCCACACUGGAACUGAGACACGGUCCAGACUCCUACGGGAGGCAGCAGUGGGGAAUUUUGGACAAUGGGCGCAAGCCUGAUCCAGCCAUGCCGCGUGAGUGAAGAAGGCCUUCGGGUUGUAAAGCUCUUUCGGCCGGGAAGAAAUCGUAUGGGUUAAUACCCUGUGCGGAUGACGGUACCGGCAUAAGAAGCACCGGCUAACUACGUG
Molecule: ribosomal RNA, 481 nt
Filed under: uncultured bacterium
Lineage: Bacteria
Description: bacterial SSU rRNA
Rfam family: Bacterial small subunit ribosomal RNA
Source: RNAcentral